CAAAGACCAAGGGCUACCAAGGAGUCAUCUUAAUUCCAGGAAACUUCAGGGUUGGAGAAGCAAAUGCAUGCAGUUCCUAUCCUGAGGAGCAGACCAAGGACAGUAUGAUCUGCUGUUCCUGGCAGUGCAAUUCAAGACUCUGGGUUGACACUACAAAACGCCAUGACUACCUUGAACACAGA
This is a non-coding RNA of Microcebus murinus (gray mouse lemur), 182 nucleotides long. NCBI's taxonomy places the organism in Eukaryota, Metazoa, Chordata, Mammalia, Primates, Cheirogaleidae. The record is from RefSeq and is a predicted model, not a curated record.